AGAGUUUGAUCCUGGCUCAGAACGAACGCUGGCGGCAGGCCUAACACAUGCAAGUCGAACGGGAUCUUCGGAUCUAGUGGCGGACGGGUUAGUAACGCGUGGGAACGUACCCUUUUCUACGGAAUAGCCUCGGGAAACUGAGAGUAAUACCGUAUACGCCCUUCGGGGGAAAGAUUUAUCGGAGAAGGAUCGGCCCGCGUAAGAUUAGAUAGUUGGUGGGGUAAUGGCCUACCAAGUCUACGAUCUUUAGCUGGUUUGAGAGGAUGAUCAGCAACACUGGGACUGAGACACGGCCCAGACUCCUACGGGAGGCAGCAGUGGGGAAUCUUAGACAAUGGGGGAAACCCUGAUCUAGCCAUGCCGCGUGAGUGACGAAGGCCUUAGGGUCGUAAAGCUCUUUCGCUGGGGAAGAUAAUGACUGUACCCAGUAAAGAAACCCCGGCUAACUCCGUGCCAGCAGCCGCGGUAAU
Molecule: ribosomal RNA, 470 nt
Filed under: uncultured Paracoccaceae bacterium
Lineage: Bacteria; Pseudomonadati; Pseudomonadota; Alphaproteobacteria; Rhodobacterales; Paracoccaceae
Description: bacterial SSU rRNA
Rfam family: Bacterial small subunit ribosomal RNA
Source: RNAcentral